This 254-nucleotide ribosomal RNA is filed under the name uncultured bacterium. RNAcentral describes it as "partial 16S ribosomal RNA". It matches the Rfam family "Bacterial small subunit ribosomal RNA", at positions 524 to 776 of the family's 1533-position model. The record is from RNAcentral.
UACGUAGGCAGCGAGCGUUGUUCGGAGUUACUGGGCGUAAAGGGUGUGUAGGCGGUUGUUUAAGUUUGGUGUGAAAUCUCCCGGCUCAACUGGGAGGGUGCGCCGAAUACUGAAUGACUUGGAGUGCGGGAGAGGAGAGUGGAAUUCCUGGUGUAGCGGUGAAAUGCGUAGAUAUCAGGAGGAACACCGGUGGUGUAGACGGCUUUCUGGACCGUAACUGACGCUGAAACACGAAAGCGUGGGUAGCAAACAGG